GUUCAGAACGUGUUCACAAGUCAGGAAGUGAGGGGCAUAUGCUAGAAGAAGCUAAGUCUAUCAAUCUCUCACUUAGUGCAUUAGGGAAGUGCAUAAAUGCACUUGCAGAGAAUAGUGCUCAUGUGCCAGUUCGUGAUUCAAAACUUACUCGGUUGCUCAAAGAUUCAUUUGGAGGCACAGCAAGAACUUCAUUAAUUGUAACCAUUGGCCCUUCACCACGCCACCGAGGAGAGACUACAAGCACUGUAUUGUUUGGACAAAGGGCUAUGAAGGUGGAGAACAUGUUGAAAAUAAAGGAAGAGUUUGAUUACAAAAGUUUAUCUAGAAAGCUUGAAAUACAAGUGGACAAGCUUAUUGUGGAGAAUGAAAGGCAGCAAAAAGCUUUUGAUGAUGAAGUUGAAAGAAUAAAUCAAGAAGCAGAAAAUCGUAUUACUGAGGUUGAAAGGAGCUUUGCAGAAGCCUU
This 463-nucleotide unclassified non-coding RNA is filed under the name Hevea brasiliensis (rubber tree). The record is from RNAcentral. Lineage: Eukaryota; Viridiplantae; Streptophyta; Magnoliopsida; Malpighiales; Euphorbiaceae.